AUUAAAUGAUGUCUUUGUUUAAAAUUAAAGUAAAUAAAAAUUAAAUGAUAUUUUAAUUAGUGUGCAAUAGGGUAUUAACCUGUGCUAGCCGCUAUGUUUGUUUUGAUUGUCAGAAAUUUUUAUUAGAAUCAAUAAUCAAUUAUAUAACUAUAGAUAGCAUGCAAACUUAUUCUAUUUUUUAAUUUACAUUUUAAGCAAUAUUUGUUAUUAUAAAAAAA
RNAcentral lists this long non-coding RNA (218 nucleotides) under Capsella rubella. Its description in RNAcentral is "long non-coding RNA (CRUB_LNC004933)". The record is from RNAcentral. Lineage: Eukaryota; Viridiplantae; Streptophyta; Magnoliopsida; Brassicales; Brassicaceae.